GCUCAGUUGGUAGAGCGUCCGACUGUAGUGAUUAGUAAUCGGAUGGUCCCUGGUUCGAUUCCGGG
This is a non-coding RNA of Perkinsus chesapeaki, 65 nucleotides long. The record is from the annotation of a GenBank genome assembly. NCBI's taxonomy places the organism in Eukaryota, Perkinsozoa, Perkinsida, Perkinsidae.